Molecule: non-coding RNA, 72 nt
Organism: Ictidomys tridecemlineatus (thirteen-lined ground squirrel)
Lineage: Eukaryota; Metazoa; Chordata; Mammalia; Rodentia; Sciuridae
Source: Rfam
GGAGUUGUGGCUCAGUGGUAGAGCAUUCACCUAGCAUGUGUGAGGCCCUGGAUUCCAUCCUCAGCACCCCUA